GGGUUGUGAGGUUAAGCGACUAAGCGUACACGGUGGAUGCCCUGGCAGUCAGAGGCGAUGAAGGACGUGCUAAUCUGCGAAAAGCGUCGGUAAGGUGAUAUGAACCGUUAUAACCGGCGAUGUCCGAAUGGGGAAACCCAGUGCAAUUCGUUGCACUAUCGUUAACUGAAUACAUAGGUUAACGAGGCGAACCGGGGGAACUGAAACAUCUAAGUACCCCGAGGAAAAGAAAUCAACCGAGAUUCCCCCAGUAGCGGCGAGCGAACGGGGAGCAGCCCAGAGUCUGAAUCAGCUUGUGUGUUAGUGGAACGGUCUGGAAAGUCCGACGGUACAGGGUGAUAGUCCCGUACACCAAAAUGCACAGGCUGUGAACUCGAAGAGUAGGGCGGGACACGUGGUAUCCUGUCUGAAUAUGGGGGGACCAUCCUCCAAGGCUAAAUACUCCUGACUGACCGAUAGUGAACCAGUACCGUGAGGGAAAGGCGAAAAGAACCCCGGCGAGGGGAGUGAAAAAGAACCUGAAACCGUGUACGUACAAGCAGUGGGAGCACCUUCGGGUGUGACUGCGUACCUUUUGUAUAAUGGGUCAGCGACUUAUAUUCUGUAGCAAGGUUAACCGUAUAGGGGAGCCGCAGGGAAACCGAGUCUUAACUGGGCGUUAAGUUGCAGGGUAUAGACCCGAAACCCGGUGAUCUAGCCAUGGGCAGGUUGAAGGUUGGGUAACACUAACUGGAGGACCGAACCGACUAAUGUUGAAAAAUUAGCGGAUGACUUGUGGCUGGGGGUGAAAGGCCAAUCAAACCGGGAGAUAGCUGGUUCUCCCCGAAAGCUAUUUAGGUAGCGCCUCGUGAAUUCAUCUUCGGGGGUAGAGCACUGUUUCGGCUAGGGGGUCAUCCCGACUUACCAACCCGAUGCAAACUACGAAUACCGAAGAAUGUUAUCACGGGAGACACACGGCGGGUGCUAACGUCCGUCGUGAAGAGGGAAACAACCCAGACCGCCAGCUAAGGUCCCAAAGUCAUGGUUAAGUGGGAAACGAUGUGGGAAGGCACAGACAGCCAGGAUGUUGGCUUAGAAGCAGCCAUCAUUUAAAGAAAGCGUAAUAGCUCACUGGUCGAGUCGGCCUGCGCGGAAGAUGUAACGGGGCUAAACCAUGCACCGAAGCUGCGGCAGCGACACUAUGUGUUGUUGGGUAGGGGAGCGUUCUGUAAGCCUGCGAAGGUGACCUGUGAGGGUUGCUGGAGGUAUCAGAAGUGCGAAUGCUGACAUAAGUAACGAUAAAGCGGGUGAAAAGCCCGCUCGCCGGAAGACCAAGGGUUCCUGUCCAACGUUAAUCGGGGCAGGGUGAGUCGACCCCUAAGGCGAGGCCGAAAGGCGUAGUCGAUGGGAAACAGGUUAAUAUUCCUGUACUUGGUGUUACUGCGAAGGGGGGACGGAGAAGGCUAUGUUAGCCGGGCGACGGUUGUCCCGGUUUAAGCAUGUAGGCUGGUUGUCCAGGCAAAUCCGGAUAAUCAAGGCUGAGGUGUGAUGACGAGGCACUACGGUGCUGAAGUAACAAAUGCCCUGCUUCCAGGAAAAGCCUCUAAGCAUCAGGUAACAUUAAAUCGUACCCCAAACCGACACAGGUGGUCAGGUAGAGAAUACCAAGGCGCUUGAGAGAACUCGGGUGAAGGAACUAGGCAAAAUGGUGCCGUAACUUCGGGAGAAGGCACGCUGGUGUGUAGGUGAAGCCCCUGCGGGUGGAGCUGAGACCAGUCGAAGAUACCAGCUGGCUGCAACUGUUUAUUAAAAACACAGCACUGUGCAAACACGAAAGUGGACGUAUACGGUGUGACGCCUGCCCGGUGCCGGAAGGUUAAUUGAUGGGGUUAUCCGUAAGGAGAAGCUCUUGAUCGAAGCCCCGGUAAACGGCGGCCGUAACUAUAACGGUCCUAAGGUAGCGAAAUUCCUUGUCGGGUAAGUUCCGACCUGCACGAAUGGCGUAAUGAUGGCCAGGCUGUCUCCACCCGAGACUCAGUGAAAUUGAACUCGCUGUGAAGAUGCAGUGUACCCGCGGCAAGACGGAAAGACCCCGUGAACCUUUACUAUAGCUUGACACUGAACAUUGAGCCUUGAUGUGUAGGAUAGGUGGGAGGCUUUGAAGCGUGGACGCCAGUCUGCGUGGAGCCAACCUUGAAAUACCACCCUUUAAUGUUUGAUGUUCUAACGUUGGCCCCUUAUCGGGGUUGCGGACAGUGUCUGGUGGGUAGUUUGACUGGGGCGGUCUCCUCCCAAAGCGUAACGGAGGAGCACGAAGGUUAGCUAAUCCUGGUCGGACAUCAGGAGGUUAGUGCAAUGGCAUAAGCUAGCUUGACUGCGAGCGUGACGGCGCGAGCAGGUGCGAAAGCAGGUCAUAGUGAUCCGGUGGUUCUGAAUGGAAGGGCCAUCGCUCAACGGAUAAAAGGUACUCCGGGGAUAACAGGCUGAUACCGCCCAAGAGUUCAUAUCGACGGCGGUGUUUGGCACCUCGAUGUCGGCUCAUCACAUCCUGGGGCUGAAGUAGGUCCCAAGGGUAUGGCUGUUCGCCAUUUAAAGUGGUACGCGAGCUGGGUUUAGAACGUCGUGAGACAGUUCGGUCCCUAUCUGCCGUGGGCGCUGGAGAAUUGAGGGGGGCUGCUCCUAGUACGAGAGGACCGGAGUGGACGCAUCACUGGUGUUCGGGUUGUCAUGCCAAUGGCACUGCCCGGUAGCUAAAUGCGGAAGAGAUAAGUGCUGAAAGCAUCUAAGCACGAAACUUGCCCCGAGAUGAGUUCUCCCUGAGACUUUAAGUCUCCUGAAGGAACGUUGAAGACGACGACGUUGAUAGGCCGGGUGUGUAAGCGCAGCGAUGCGUUGAGCUAACCGGUACUAAUGAACCGUGAGGCUUAACCUUACAACGCCGAAG
RNAcentral lists this ribosomal RNA (2923 nucleotides) under Klebsiella pneumoniae. RNAcentral describes it as "23S ribosomal RNA". It matches the Rfam family "Bacterial large subunit ribosomal RNA". The record is from RNAcentral. Lineage: Bacteria; Pseudomonadati; Pseudomonadota; Gammaproteobacteria; Enterobacterales; Enterobacteriaceae.